RNAcentral lists this ribosomal RNA (468 nucleotides) under uncultured bacterium. RNAcentral describes it as "partial 16S ribosomal RNA". It matches the Rfam family "Bacterial small subunit ribosomal RNA", at positions 28 to 507 of the family's 1533-position model. The record is from RNAcentral.
GACGAACGCUGGCGGCGUGCUUAACACAUGCAAGUCGAACGGAAAGGCCCUGCUUUUGUGGGGUGCUCGAGUGGCGAACGGGUGAGUAACACGUGAGUAACCUGCCCUUGACUUUGGGAUAACUUCAGGAAACUGGGGCUAAUACCGGAUAGGAGCUCCUGCUGCAUGGUGGGGGUUGGAGAGUUUCGGCGGUUGGGGAUGAACUCGCGGCUUAUCAGCUUGUUGGUGGGGUAGUGGCUUACCAAGGCUUUGACGGGUAGCCGGCCUGAGAGGGUGACCGGCCACAUUGGGACUGAGAUACGGCCCAGACUCCUACGGGAGGCAGCAGUGGGGAAUAUUGCACAAUGGGCGGAAGCCUGAUGCAGCAACGCCGCGUGCGGGAUGACGGCCUUCGGGUUGUAAACCGCUUUCGCCUGUGACGAAGCGUGAGUGACGGUAAUGGGUAAAGAAGCACCGGCUAACUACGUG